Molecule: unclassified non-coding RNA, 445 nt
Filed under: Carex albata
Lineage: Eukaryota; Viridiplantae; Streptophyta; Magnoliopsida; Poales; Cyperaceae
Description: partial external transcribed spacer
Source: RNAcentral
UUUGGUGCGGCCAACCGACAUGGGGCUGUCUCUUCACUCUCCCUCCCGUCAUUUAAUUUGUCGGGGCUGGGAUGCUUGUGAUCGGGGGCCUGUGUAGUUCUACCCUGUUGUGCGUAGCGAAGUUGUCCCUCGAUUGAUAUUUGCUUGCCUUUCUGACAUUUUUUUGUCGUUCGGGCAGCCGAAAUGAUGGCAAAAUCCUUGUGUAGGUGCGUGGUCGAAUGGCCUUGUUGCUAUCACCUGGAUUUUUGCCGCCUCUCACGGAUGCAGUGCCUAGUGCUAGCUCUGCGUGACUUUGCCCCGCAGACUUCGGGAGGUCCCUUGUACAAAUCAUUGCGAUCAGAUGCCGUUUGUCGUGUUGCUUGUUUGGCACGCAAAUCGUAUUGUUCUGCCUGGAGUCGGGAUGAUGAAAGUCAGAAUGAAGUGUCUGGGGCGUGCUUGCGUACAU